GCCGGCAUAGCUCAGAUGGUAGAGCAGCUGAUUUGUAAUCAGAAGGUCGUGGGUUCGAUUCCUACUGUCGGCACCA
RNAcentral lists this transfer RNA (76 nucleotides) under Burkholderiales bacterium. RNAcentral describes it as "tRNA-Thr". It matches the Rfam family "tRNA". From Rfam's summary of the family: Transfer RNA (tRNA) molecules are approximately 80 nucleotides in length. Their secondary structure includes four short double-helical elements and three loops (D, anti-codon, and T loops). Lineage: Bacteria; Pseudomonadati; Pseudomonadota; Betaproteobacteria; Burkholderiales. RNAcentral also lists the same sequence under 3 other names. The record is from RNAcentral.